RNAcentral lists this unclassified non-coding RNA (195 nucleotides) under Vibrio tapetis. RNAcentral's name for it is "partial miscellaneous RNA". Lineage: Bacteria; Pseudomonadati; Pseudomonadota; Gammaproteobacteria; Vibrionales; Vibrionaceae. The record is from RNAcentral.
UGUUAUUCAAAUUUAAAAGUUCUCAAAUCCUAUGACUCUUUAAGAGUGAUAGGUACCAACACACAUUCAAGUGUUCUUGGGUUUUCAUGCGAAUGAAAACAUAUUUGAGUCCGGCAAAAUCGAACGUCUCUCACUCAUAAAAUAGAGAGACAACCUUGGUUGUUUGCCAUACAUAAGACCUCUACGGGGUUGUAU